This 411-nucleotide ribosomal RNA is filed under the name uncultured bacterium. RNAcentral's name for it is "bacterial SSU rRNA". It matches the Rfam family "Bacterial small subunit ribosomal RNA", at positions 32 to 422 of the family's 1533-position model. The record is from RNAcentral.
AAUCAACGCUGGCGGCGUGCCUCAGACAUGCAAGUCGAACGCGAAAGGUUCCUUCGGGAACCCGGUAGAGUGGCGCACGGGUGAGUAACACGUGGGUAAUUUACCUUCAGGUGGGGAAUAACAAUCGGAAACGAUUGCUAAUACCGCAUAAUGCAGCGGCACCACAUGGUGACAGUUGUUAAAGCGGGGGAGUCGAAGACCUCGCGCCGGAAGAGAAGCCCGCGGCAGAUUAGCAGUUGGUGAGGUAAUGGCUCACCAAGGCUUCGAUCUGUAGCCGGCCUGAGAGGGCGGUCGGCCACACUGACACUGACAUACGGGUCAGACUCCUACGGGAGGCAGCAGUCGGGAAUUUUGGGCAAUGGGCGAAAGCCUGACCCACGCAACGCCGCGUGAAGGAUGAAAUCUUUCGGG